Molecule: non-coding RNA, 658 nt
Organism: Paramuricea clavata
Lineage: Eukaryota; Metazoa; Cnidaria; Anthozoa; Malacalcyonacea; Plexauridae
Source: the annotation of a GenBank genome assembly
CUCAGGAAUAUAUUAAAUUAUUAACACAAUCUACAAAUAAUUAAAAUUAAUACAAAGGAUAAAUAUAAUGCAUAUAUACUUUUGUUUGAAUACAACUUAUCAAUUAAACCUAUAUUAAAAGAUAAGUGGAUUGAAAACCUAAAAAAACUUUUGAAGGGAAUUUUACCUUUGAACAGCACAAAUCACUUGACAAAUGUGUUGCAUACUUGACACAGCUGUGGCCUGUGGACAAACAGUUCAGGCUAAAUUGCUAAUAACCCAGAAUUCUUGACAGUUUUAAGGAUUCUCAAUCGUAAACUCGGACUCUGCAUUCUUACUGUCACCUCGCACUUUCUUCGUUGAGGUUCCAACGAUAUUUUGACCAUCAACUUCGCCUGUUUGAGAUGUCUGAUACGUCACUACGUGAUGAAUUUAAAGCCUUUUCUUUCUUGUAUCUUUGACGCCCCGAAACAGUCCCUUUCCUCUUUCUUUUAUAUAAAGAUCUGGAGCUUUGUCCAACCAUUUGUUUAUGUUAAAAAGCAAAGAUUAAAGAGCGAAGAAUUUGAUUUCUUUUCACGUUCGAAAAUAGCAUUUCCGUUGAAAAUUUUGAUCACAAUUUUGGCAUGGCAAUGAGCGCCAGCAAUCACCAAAUUAUAACAGCACCAAUACUUUAUGUAGU